Oncorhynchus mykiss (rainbow trout) is the source of this 3599-nucleotide non-coding RNA. The record is from RefSeq and is a predicted model, not a curated record. NCBI's taxonomy places the organism in Eukaryota, Metazoa, Chordata, Actinopteri, Salmoniformes, Salmonidae.
CAAUUGGCUCAUUCAUCCCCCUCUCCCCUGUAACUAUUCCCCAGGUCGUUGCUGUAAAUGAGAAUGUGUUCAUUUACCUGGUUAAAAAAAAUAAUUCAGCUCAUGUAACAUGAGACUGACACUUUACAUGUUGCGUUUAUAUUUUUGUUCAGUAUAUAUUUCAGAGAUGGUUAUUUACCAGAUACUAUUGCUCAGUGAGACAGUCAGUGUUUGCACUGUACCUCAAGCAAAACAUUUCCAAAACCUAUUGCUUAGUUGAACACAAAAGCAAUAUUUUUUGGGGGGGCAUGUUUAGUCAUUAUCUAAAGCAACUUAGUUAGUGCAUUCGUCUUCAGAUAGGGAGGUGAGACAACCACAUCAGUCGUGGUAAGAACAUUUUCCCCAAACAAAAAGAAGUGCAGGUUUUAUUUAUUUGUACUUAAAAUAAGAUGGAUGUCUUAUUUAAGAUACUCCGUGAAGAGGUGGGGUUGUCUAUAAGAAGCCAAGGAUAUGCUAGCUAUCGAGCAAUACAUUAGCAAUGCCAGUAACAAUCCUAUCUGUUUUCAGAUGAUCCUAAAGAUUUAACCUCCCAGUAACCACUCACACUCUUCUCCAUUCUACCCUGUGGGGUGAGCUGUCACAAAGACUGUUGCAGCCACCUUGCUGUUGAGUGCUGCAAACCAACAAAUGUGCCGGUCACGAUCCUUCAGUGUGCCUGAUAUGGUUUAGCCCCGACACGUUCUACAUCCGAGGAAGCACCCGACUCUCUGGAGGAUGAAGUGUUUGAUGUCCACCUUUUUGAGUAUAGUCUCGCUUCGUCGGGUGUGUACUCCACAGGGAUGCUGCCCGACAUUUGUCUCCAAUGCUUCCCACACUUUUUUCAAGGUGGCUGCGUGUCGUUUGGGUAGCGGACCAUUCUACACGGAACAUUUUUGAGUGUGGAAAAACCCCAGCAGCGUUGCAGUUCUUGACCCACUCAAACCAGUGCGCCGGGCACCUACUCCCUUAUCUCGUUCAAAGGCACGUGAAUAUUUUGUCUUGCCCGUUCACCCUCUGAAUGGCACACAUACACACUCCAUGUCUCGGGGCUGAUAAAUCCUUAUUUAACCCGUCUCCUCCCCUUCAUCUACACAGAUUUUUGAAGUGCAUUUAACAGGUGUCAUCAAUCAAGGGAUCCUUAGCUUACACCAGUCAGUCUGUCAUGGAAAGGACCUGUCUCUAAUGUUUUUGUACACUGUGUAUGUCAGCAUCUCCUAGUGUGAGCAAUGUGCCUGAUCAAAUGCUCUAUCUGCAAGUGUUUUGAAGUAGUCUCUCUACAAUUCCUAUCUAAACUCAUCCUGUUUUUAGACUGCAGUUCUCUAUUUCCUGAAUGAAUUUUGUGGUCCACUUACUAGUUAAUUUUCACAUCAGAAUGAAGACCAACAUUGACGAGAUCACAAACGUUUCCCAUGCUGCCCAAGCUGAACUUAAAUGAGGACCCGACAGCAAUGACACUCCGACGAUCUGUGUGAUAGAAAUGUUUUUGCUCCUGUUUGGAUACGCAAUGCACGCUAAGAACAUUGCACAUUCUCUGACUUUCUUGAAUGUCCACAUUUUCCCCACGUUUUAGAGCUAUUGAACCUGAGGAAGGAUUGUGUAACUGUGUAACUAACUAUAUGUUUACUUGCUAAUGAUACUUUGAUUCAGUCAUUGCAUGUUGUGCUGAUUUGUGUAUUUAUUUUCUGAUGAAUUAAUCCUUCAUUCUCUUGGCUAUAGUAUUAUUUGCCCAGAGCUUUCACAGUAGGUAAACCUGGAGUACAGUAGAUGCAUAUCUCUGCAUGUGCUUGUAUACGGCUCAUGAUUGCUGAAGGUUGCUUCUCCUCUAGGUGGGGAGGUUUUGUGUCAACACUGCAUAGCGUAGGCUACCACUGGGAUUUAGCAUUUUGUAGUUCUUUCACAUUCCCUGGUUUUAGUGUAGCCCUAUGUUUGUGUAUAAAAUGUGGAUUGUUGAUGACAAGGUAAAUUGAGGUUCUUUCCUCAGCUAGCCAACCAUGUUCAUGUUUGAUUACAUUGUAUUGUGGUACAAUUUUAAAAGGCAGAAAGAUCUUCUAUGGUUUUAUAUCAUAGAAUAGAGAUGGCAUCAUGCCCAACUACUUUGGACUUUGCUACCUGUGUACAUACAAUAUGCUGAGGAGUUAUUUGUCUCGCUCUGUUACUCCCAAGUGAUACUCCCAUGAGGGAAGGCAAUUAAUUUACUCUGAGCAGUGGUUUCUAGGAACUUCAAUACAUAGCUGAGACGAUUCUCUCCGGGAUCGUCACACUGUAAAAUGUGAUAACAGCACAAAUUUAGGCUACAUUUUAUACUUAUUGCUUAAAGUCCGAGGGGUUGUGGUAUAUGGCCGAUAUACCACAGAUAAGGGCUGUUCUUAGGCGCAACACUGAGUGCCUGGAUAUAUACCAUAAACCCCCGAGGUGCCUUAUUGAGAUUAUAAACUGGUUACCAAUGUAAUUAGAGCGGUAAAAAUACAUGUUUUGUCAUACCCAUGGUAUAUGGUCUGUUUAUAAACUGGGUGGUUCAUGUCCUGAAUGCUGAUUGGCUGAAAGCCAUGGCUUAUCGGUCUGUAUACCACGGGUAGACCGGGGCGGCAGGGUAGUCUAGUGGUUAGAGUGUUGGACUAGUAACCGGAAGGUUGUAAGUUCAAAUCCCCAAGCUGACUAGGUACAAAUCUGUCGUUCUGCCCCUGAACAGGCAGUUAACCCACUGAAAAAUAAGAAUUUGUUCUUAACUGACUUGCCUAGUUAAAUAAAGGUAAAAUAAAUUACUAGUGUAGCCUAUAAGCAGAUGUAGGCAUUGUUUUACACUUGCCAAUAUACCAUGGCUAAGGGCUGUAUCAGGGCACUCUGUGUCACGUCGUGUGUAAGAACAGGCCUUAGCUGUGGUAUAUUGGCCAUAUACCAUUGCUUAAAUAUACCACACCUGUCAGCCAAUCAGCAUUCCGGGCUCGAACCGCCUAUAAUUUUGAAAUCUAUUCCUAUUGCAACAAACAUGACUUAAAAACAUUCUUCUUCAUAUUUUGUGAUAGAGCUUAUCAAUAAUUUUGUCUUUCAAACAGAUUCCAAUUUAGAGCAUUUUGUUAUGUUGGACUUUAGUAGAUAUUCAGUUUGAGAAAUAAUGUUUAGUACUUUUGUGCUGUCUUUUAUUUGAACCACUCAUUUUGCAAACUUGUAACCUUCAGGUGUUGCUGGCACUCCUGUCAACUUCCAAUUUGGUAGGCUGAGGAUUUGUCACCAUAGUAACUCCACCUCUGGCAUCCUGUAGGCAUUUACUGGCCUGUGAAAACUGAAGCCAUCUCACAAGGGCUAGUCCUAUUUAUAUUGUGGUCGUUUUUUUUAAUAACGCAAGCAAGGUUAUUAUUGAGGGAGAUGUCCAAACCCGUAUGAUCUUGUCACACUGCAUUAACAGCUUUAUGGAGCUGAGAGAGAAAAUAAAGGGCUUGGAUUAGGUCCAAGGCCAGUUAUCAUGUGUGCAGGGUUUAUACACAUGAGAGCAGACUAUUUAUGUAUGUGAAAUAGGGUAUAUAAUAGCCUCAUAUUUUUUUUUUUAAAAGCACUUGUUAAGUUAUACACCCGAAAUGCUUAGA